RNAcentral lists this ribosomal RNA (254 nucleotides) under uncultured bacterium. RNAcentral's name for it is "partial 16S ribosomal RNA". It matches the Rfam family "Bacterial small subunit ribosomal RNA", at positions 524 to 776 of the family's 1533-position model. The record is from RNAcentral.
CACGUAGGGGGCAAGCGUUGUCCGGAUUUAUUGGGCGUAAAGAGCUCGUAGGCGGUUUCGUAAGUCGGGUGUGAAAACUCUAGGCUCAACCUAGAGACGCCACCCGAUACUGCGAUGACUAGAGUCCGGUAGGGGAGUGUGGAAUUCCUGGUGUAGCGGUGAAAUGCGCAGAUAUCGGGAGGAACAUCAGUGGCGAAGGCGGCUGCCUGGCCCAAUACUGACACUCAGGUGCGACAGCGUGGGGAGCAAACAGG